AAUGCGCCUUCAGAACAACAGAAUAUAUAAUCUGACUAAACGACUGUGUUCCUGACUGAUGUCGAAGGCUCGGGAGUACAGCAUCACUGUUCGCGACUCGAAGACUUCCGAUUUAUCCAGCGCCUGAGGAGGAAGUGCUAUUACCACAAACAGUAGCCAGACGCAUCUUUACGAACCAGAUCCUUGAGCU
Long non-coding RNA from Drosophila erecta, 190 nucleotides. RefSeq lists it as uncharacterized. The transcript is spliced from 2 exons. Lineage: Eukaryota; Metazoa; Arthropoda; Insecta; Diptera; Drosophilidae. The record is from RefSeq and is a predicted model, not a curated record.